This is a non-coding RNA of Plectropomus leopardus (leopard coralgrouper), 192 nucleotides long. The record is from RefSeq and is a predicted model, not a curated record. NCBI's taxonomy places the organism in Eukaryota, Metazoa, Chordata, Actinopteri, Perciformes, Serranidae.
GUUUGAAGGAGUGGCCUCGCAACGCUGCAGCUGAUCCUCAUCACAAUCAGCUGAUGCAGCAGGAGGAGGACACGCAGGACAGCGGACACUUUGGAGAUAUUAGGAAACUGAUGGAAACCACAGGCACUAUGAUACGAUGCAAAGCUGCUGGAAGCGCAGAAAGCAGUCUUGGCCACCGACCGCAUAUGACCC